Non-coding RNA from Drosophila virilis, 662 nucleotides. NCBI's taxonomy places the organism in Eukaryota, Metazoa, Arthropoda, Insecta, Diptera, Drosophilidae. The record is from RefSeq and is a predicted model, not a curated record.
AAUAUCAUAUGUUGAUUUUAUGUGUAUAUUCUGAUAGAGAGCAGUUUUUUGAAUUCUUUCGUUUACACAUAAAAAAGAGAAUUAAGCAAAAUCUUGCAUUCAUGAAAUUUUGAACAUAUAUUUCUAAGCUUUGGGUAAAAGAAUACAAAAUGAGACUAUUGGAAAUAUAUUUCUCAUUCUCUAUAAAAUGAUAAGAUUAAACGCUCAAAUUUUCCCCUUUUUACAACUAGAUACACUUACCAACUAUUGAACCUUCAGCGCACAACAAAUAUAUGAGACAACACGGCGUAUGAGUAACAGUGUCGUUGUAAAAUUGAAUGGCAAGCGGAAAAGUGAACACAGAUACGGAUGUGCCCCGCACUUUUGCACUUGCACAAAUACCAACCAACUCGACCAAGUAACGCACACCGAAGAAGCUGUUGGGCAGGGCAAAGGGGUCAUAGUUGUAGCUGAAAGUGCGUAUGUGUGUGAGUUGCUUAACUUUUUUCGAAUGCCUGAUUUGCCCUGUAACAGAAUAUAAAUGUAUCUGUGUGAAUGGCGAACUGUGCGCAUUUGUGUGUGUAUCACGCACGUCUCACUUUGCCCCAUGCCGCGGCGCCUUUGUUGGUGCGAGUUUCAGUUGACUAUUUAAUAAAUCCCAGUUUUGUGGUCAGCAUACCAAA